CACGUAGGGUGCGAGCGUUGUCCGGAAUUAUUGGGCGUAAAGGGCUCGUAGGCGGCCAACUAAGUCGGACGUGAAAUCCCCAGGCUCAACCUGGGAACUGCGUCCGAUACUGGAUGGCUUGAAUUCGGGAGAGGGAUGCAGAAUUCCAGGUGUAGCGGUGAAAUGCGUAGAUAUCUGGAGGAAUACCGGUGGCGAAGGCGGCAUCCUGGACCGACAUUGACGCUGAGGAGCGAAAGCUAGGGGAGCAAACGGG
Molecule: ribosomal RNA, 253 nt
Filed under: uncultured bacterium
Lineage: Bacteria
Description: partial 16S ribosomal RNA
Rfam family: Bacterial small subunit ribosomal RNA
Source: RNAcentral